GAUGAACGCUGGCGGCGUGCCUAAUACAUGCAAGUCGAGCGAACGGACGAGAAGCUUGCUUCUCUGAUGUUAGCGGCGGACGGGUGAGUAACACGUGGAUAACCUACCUAUAAGACUGGGAUAACUUCGGGAAACCGGAGCUAAUACCGGAUAAUAUUUUGAACCGCAUGGUUCAAAAGUGAAAGACGGUCUUGCUGUCACUUAUAGAUGGAUCCGCGCUGCAUUAGCUAGUUGGUAAGGUAACGGCUUACCAAGGCAACGAUGCAUAGCCGACCUGAGAGGGUGAUCGGCCACACUGGAACUGAGACACGGUCCAGACUCCUACGGGAGGCAGCAGUAGGGAAUCUUCCGCAAUGGGCGGAAGCCUGAUGCAGCAACGCCGCGUGCGGGAUGACGGCCUUCGGGUUGUAAACCGCUUUCGCCUGUGACGAAGCGUGAGUGACGGUAAUGGGUAAAGAAGCACCGGCUAACUACGUG
RNAcentral lists this ribosomal RNA (477 nucleotides) under uncultured bacterium. RNAcentral describes it as "partial 16S ribosomal RNA". It matches the Rfam family "Bacterial small subunit ribosomal RNA", at positions 28 to 507 of the family's 1533-position model. The record is from RNAcentral.